AAGGACAGGGAAGUCUGGUGUGCUGCGCUGUAGUCCAUGGGGUCACAAACAGUGGGACACAUCCUAGAGACUGAACCACAGCAAUCUACCAAGGAAAAAAUAAAAUUGGGAUCACCAUAUUUUGCUGAGUGAAAGAGAAAAUAAACUGCAGACAUCCAGAUGGACUUUUGCCUUGCCAGUGAGGGACACAACCAUGGAGUCAAGUCUUACCUGGUAUUGGCUAAGAGCACCAACUCAGGUCUCUCAAUUCAGAAAACUUAAGCAGAAAAUAUCUUCUGUCUGGUUUGUCACACCCUACUCACUUUCCUACUUACUAGGAUUCCAUGCAUCUCUGCUCCAUACUAUUCUGAAUUUGUUUCACAUUCUAACAGUAUGCUGGGCCAUAAUUCUUAAAUAAUAUUUAAAUAAUACUUGAUUAUAUCCCAUAUAUGACAGCUAUGCUGAUUCUGUGGUUAUAUCACUAAAAUCAUAGUAAUGAUAGUUACAAAGAAUUCAUAUUAGGAAAAUGUACUUUCUCAAAUGGUUUAGAGAAGUAUUAAUCUAAUUGUAUGUGAGAUUUAGUUUAGAGACUUAUGUAGAGUCACUGUUUUAUCCAGCCUAGGGAAUGAGUUCCCUGAGAUGGAGCAUCAUCUGAAUAAGAGCUGAAUGAAAUUAACAGCACUUAUUCCCCCAAACAAUUGUGCUCCAUGUCUUUAUACGUCAGUCAUAUCCUCUUUUCUUCACAUCCUCUGAAGCAAUCAGAGGCCUGCACCACAAUUUUUCUGUCAACUCUUGACAUUUUUGUCACUAGUCUCCAUUGAUGCUUAUAAUGUCCUUUGUAAAGAAAAACUUUCCACUAAUAUCUUAAUGAUGGCUGAUUGCCAUCGUCUGUUUAUUCGGUUAUCUUAAACGUGUUUCUCUGCCUGCCACAUCUGUAAAACGUUAGAUUUUCAUAUCCUAUAUGAUUUGCCUACCUUUGAUUAGCCAGAAAUGAUAGGUCAAAACCUGUCAUAAUAACCCAAAUUACUGGCCCACAACACUCAGGACAGCAAUUACAAAAAUGUGGCAGUCAUAACUAACAGUCCUCUAAUCAUUUUAUUCUUUUUUCUACAAUAAUAAAAAUGUUGGCUGAAUCUGUCUUUAUUCAUCAAAGACUAAAUUUCUUAGAGUCUCUUUCAGCUAGGAAUGGCCAUUUGACUAGGCUUUCUUAAAAAAUGGGAUGUGAGAGGAAGCAACUUCUAGUCAUUCUCUUAAAUAGAGGUGCCCAUGGCCACACCCUUUCUGUUCCCCUUGUCCAUGUUAGCUGGAGUUAUGGCAGGGGUCAGAGGAGUCACCGGAGAGUACAUGAUGGAAGACAUCUAUUUAGAGUGACUCAUUGGAAAAGGCUCUGAUGCUGGGAGUGAUUGGGGGCAGGAGGANNNNNNNNNNNNNNNNNNNNNNNNNNCUGGAUGGCAUCACAGACUCAAUGGACGUGAGUUUGAGUGAACUCCGGGAUAUGGUGAUGGACAGGGAGGCUUGGCGUGCUGCAAUUCAUGGGCUCACAAAGAGUCCGACACGACUGAGCGACUGAACUGAACUGAGCAACAACAUGGAAGGAACAUGGGUCUCUACCAAUCACCUGGAUGCUUACAGUCAGCCUAGAUGCCUAAGUGAGAUUUUAAAAAAUAUGUUAUACUUUACC
This 1660-nucleotide long non-coding RNA is filed under the name Capra hircus (goat). RNAcentral describes it as "lncRNA (ENSCHIG00010003170.1)". Lineage: Eukaryota; Metazoa; Chordata; Mammalia; Artiodactyla; Bovidae. The record is from RNAcentral.